This 479-nucleotide ribosomal RNA is filed under the name uncultured bacterium. RNAcentral's name for it is "bacterial SSU rRNA". It matches the Rfam family "Bacterial small subunit ribosomal RNA", at positions 29 to 487 of the family's 1533-position model. The record is from RNAcentral.
AGCGAACGUUGGCGGCGCGCCUAACACAUGCAAGUCGAUCGCGAAAGGACUUCGGUCCGAGUAGAGUGGCGCACGGGUGAGUAACACGUGAGUAAUCUGCCCUUAAGCUUGGGAUAACAUGCCGAAAGGCGUGCUAAUACCGAAUGAGACCACGUCCUCUGUGGAGGAUGUGAGAAAAGAUGGGGAUCCGAGAGGACCUAUCACUUGAGGAUGAGCUCGCGGCCUAUCAGCUAGUUGGCGGGGUAAUGGCCCACCAAGGCGAAGACGGGUAGCUGGUCUGAGAGGAUGAUCAGCCACACUGGAACUGAGACACGGUCCAGACUUCUACGGAAGGCAGCAGUGGGGAAUUUGCGCAAUGGGCGAAAGCCUGACGCAGCGACGCCGCGUGUGCGAUGAAGGCCUUUGGGUCGUAAAGCACUGUCGGUCGGGACGAAAUCUCAUACGAUAACACCGUAUGAGUUUGACGGUACCGGCAAAGG